UGCCGGUGUGGGCGGCGGCGAGGGCGGGGGCGUCGUUGACGCCGUCGCCGACGACCAGGACCUUGGCGCCGCCGUUCUGGAGUUCGUGGACGGCGGC
Molecule: transfer RNA, 97 nt
Filed under: Streptomyces litmocidini
Lineage: Bacteria; Bacillati; Actinomycetota; Actinomycetes; Kitasatosporales; Streptomycetaceae
Description: tRNA-Val
Source: RNAcentral